Molecule: ribosomal RNA, 253 nt
Filed under: uncultured bacterium
Lineage: Bacteria
Description: partial 16S ribosomal RNA
Rfam family: Bacterial small subunit ribosomal RNA
Source: RNAcentral
UACGGGGGGGGCAAGCGUUGUUCGGAAUUACUGGGCGUAAAGGGCUCGUAGGCGGCCAACUAAGUCAGACGUGAAAUCCCUCGGCUUAACCGGGGAACUGCGUCUGAUACUGGAUGGCUAGAGGUUGGGAGAGGGAUGCGGAAUUCCAGGUGUAGCGGUGAAAUGCUUAGAUAUCGUCAAGAACACCGAUAGCGAAGGCAGCUUACUAGACUGUAACUGACGCUGAUGCACGAAAGUGUGGGGAUCAAACAGG